GACGAACGCUGGCGGCGUGCUUAACACAUGCAAGUCGAACGGAAAGGCCCUGCCUUUGUGCGGUGCUCGAGUGGCGAACGGGUGAGUAACACGUGAGUAACCUGCCCUUGACUUUGGGAUAACUUCAGGAAACUGGGGCUAAUACCGGAUAGGAGCUCCUGCUGCAUGGUGGGGGUUGGAAAGUUUCGGCGGUUGGGGAUCGACUCGCGGCUUAUCAGCUUGUUGGUGGGGUAGUGGCUUACCAAGGCUUUGACGGGUAGCCGGCCUGAGAGGGUGACCGGCCACAUUGGGACGGAGAUACGGCCCAGACUCCUACGGGAGGCAGCAGUGGGGAAUAUUGCACAAUGGGCGGAAGCCUGAUGCAGCGCCGCCGCGUGGGGGAUGACGGCCUUCGGGUUGUAAACCGCUUUCGCCUGUGACGAGGCGUGAGUGACGGUAAUGGGUAAAGAAGCACCGGCUAACUACGUG
This 468-nucleotide ribosomal RNA is filed under the name uncultured bacterium. RNAcentral's name for it is "partial 16S ribosomal RNA". It matches the Rfam family "Bacterial small subunit ribosomal RNA", at positions 28 to 507 of the family's 1533-position model. The record is from RNAcentral.